Molecule: ribosomal RNA, 433 nt
Filed under: uncultured archaeon
Lineage: Archaea
Description: bacterial SSU rRNA
Rfam family: Archaeal small subunit ribosomal RNA
Source: RNAcentral
UACCAGCUCUCCGAGUGGUGUGGAUGUUUAUUGGGCCUAAAGCAUCCGUAGCUGGCUGGGCAAGUCCCCUGUUAAAUCCACCGAUUUAAUCGUUGGUGUGCGGGGGAUACUGUUCGGCUAGGGGACGGGAGAGGCCGACGGUAUUUUCGGGGUAGGGGUGAAAUCCUAUAAUCCCGGGAAGACCACCAGUGGCGAAGGCUGUCGGCUAGAACGCGCCCGACGGUGAGGGAUGAAAGCUGGGGGAGCGAACCGGAUUAGAUACCCGGGUAGUCCCAGCUGUAAACGAUGCAGGCUAGGUGUUUGGGCGGCCACGUGCCGCUCUAGUGCCGCAGAGAAGUCGUUAAGCCUGCCGCCGUGGGGAGUACGGCCGCAAGGCUAGAAACUUAAAGGAAGUUGGCGGGGAGCACCACGAAGGGGUGAAGCUUGGCGGUUU